RNAcentral lists this ribosomal RNA (253 nucleotides) under uncultured bacterium. Its description in RNAcentral is "partial 16S ribosomal RNA". It matches the Rfam family "Bacterial small subunit ribosomal RNA", at positions 524 to 776 of the family's 1533-position model. The record is from RNAcentral.
GACAGAGGGUGCAAACGUUGUUCGGAGUUACUGGGCGUAAAGCGCGGGCAGGCGGCCUCGCAAGUCUGAUGUGAAAGCACCCGGCUCAACCGGGUGAUGCCAUUGGAAACUACAAGGCUGGAGUCUGGCAGAGGUAGGCGGAAUUCCGGGUGGAGUGGUGAAAUGCGUAGAGAUCCGGAGGAACACCAGAGGCGAAGGCGGCCUACUGGGCCAGUACUGACGCUGAGCCGCGAAAGCCAGGGGAGCGAACGGG